Molecule: ribosomal RNA, 722 nt
Filed under: uncultured bacterium
Lineage: Bacteria
Description: bacterial SSU rRNA
Rfam family: Bacterial small subunit ribosomal RNA
Source: RNAcentral
AAACAGGAUUAGAUACCCUGGUAGUCCGCACGGUAAACGAUGAAUGCUCGCUAUGGGCGAUACAUUGUCCGUGGCCAAGCGAAAGCGUUAAGCAUUCCACCUGGGGAGUACGCCGGCAACGGUGAAACUCAAAGGAAUUGACGGGGGCCCGCACAAGCGGAGGAACAUGUGGUUUAAUUCGAUGAUACGCGAGGAACCUUACCCGGGCUUGAAUUGCAGGUGCAUGAGUCAGAGAUGAUUCUUUCCUUCGGGACUCCUGUGAAGGUGCUGCAUGGUUGUCGUCAGCUCGUGCCGUGAGGUGUCGGCUUAAGUGCCAUAACGAGCGCAACCCUUCUCCCCAGUUGCCAUCGGGUAAUGCCGGGCCCUCUGGGGACACUGCCAUCGUAAGAUGCGAGGAAGGUGGGGAUGACGUCAAAUCAGCACGGCCCUUACGUCCGGGGCUACACACGUGUUACAAUGGGGGGUACAGAGGGCCGCUGUCCGGUGACGGUUGGCCAAUCCCUAAAACCCCUCUCAGUUCGGACUGGAGUCUGCAACCCGACUCCACGAAGCUGGAUUCGCUAGUAAUCGCGCAUCAGCCAUGGCGCGGUGAAUACGUUCCCGGGCCUUGUACACACCGCCCGUCAAGUCAUGAAAGCCGGGGGCGCCUGAAGUCCGUUACCGCGAGGGUCGGCCUAGGGUAAAACUGGUGAUUGGGGCUAAGUCGUAACAAGGUAACCGUA